This 520-nucleotide ribosomal RNA is filed under the name uncultured bacterium. RNAcentral's name for it is "bacterial SSU rRNA". It matches the Rfam family "Bacterial small subunit ribosomal RNA", at positions 120 to 674 of the family's 1533-position model. The record is from RNAcentral.
GGGAACGUACCCUUCGGUUCGGAAUAACUCAGGGGAACUUGAGCUAAUACCGGAUACGCCCUUUUGGGGAAAGGUUUACUGCCGAAGGAUCGGCCCGCGUCUGAUUAGCUUGUUGGUGGGGUAACGGCCUACCAAGGCGACGAUCAGUAGCUGGUCUGAGAGGAUGAUCAGCCACACUGGGACUGAGACACGGCCCAGACUCCUACGGGAGGCAGCAGUGGGGAAUAUUGGACAAUGGGCGCAAGCCUGAUCCAGCCAUGCCGCGUGAGUGAUGAAGGCCUUAGGGUUGUAAAGCUCUUUUGUCCGGGACGACAAUGACGGUACCGGAAGAAUAAGCCCCGGCUAACUUCGUGCCAGCAGCCGCGGUAAUACGAAGGGGGCUAGCGUUGCUCAGAAUCACUGGGCGUAAAGGGCGCGUAGGCGGCCGAUUAAGUCGGGGGUGAAAGCCUGUGGCUCAACCACAGAAUUGCCUUCGAUACUGGUUGGCUUGAGACCGGAAGAGGACAGCGGAACUGCGAGU